Molecule: long non-coding RNA, 4273 nt
Filed under: Homo sapiens (human)
Lineage: Eukaryota; Metazoa; Chordata; Mammalia; Primates; Hominidae
Description: PREDICTED lncRNA (TCONS_00165478)
Source: RNAcentral
CUUGGCAUUGACACACCAGGCAAGGCCCAGUGUGCCCCUCCCCCGAUGCACCGGCACCCUGCGGGCCCCGAGCGCCCGUGGGAGGCACUCACCAUCGAAGCUGCGCAGCUGGGUGGCAAGCAUGGCCUGCAGGACGCGGCUGCUGUCCCGGAGCGCGGUCUCCAGCUCGGCAUGGCUGCGGUUGGCCAGGUUCUCCUCCAUCUCGCUGGUGCAGCAGGUGUAGCCCUGGGGACAGAUCCGCAGGUGCUCACCUGUGGGGAAAGGCCAGUGUGAGGGAGAGGGGCUGGGACAGCACUGGGAGCCAGGAGGGCACCCUCAGGCUCUCCUGGGCAGGAUGGCAGACCCAGGGUGGAGCACAGCUCAGGGGUGGGCCAGCCUGGGGGGUGCCCUGGGUGAAGGCAGAAGUGGUCGGGGUGUGGAGGGAGGAAAAGGCCUGGCUUCGGUCCCGUAGCUUCCCACACGUGACACAAGAGCACGGCUGCCUCUACAGGGCAGGAGGCCCCUUGGGCAAGUCCUGCCCCCCAGCCUGCUGUCCCAGCAGCUGCAAGCAAAGAACUGGCCUCAGGUUCCUGUGUGCAAGUGUGGAGAAGGCUCCCAGGCCCGAAAGGCACCCCUUGCCUGGGCCCAUGUCUGAGGAUGGGGAAGGAGGAAGGAAUCCAAUCCCCCUCUCUUCCCACACCAGCCCUGGGGGGCACCAAGCUCCCACUGCAAGGACGGCAGAUCCCACCAACAGUGGGCUGGUCAGAGGCAGUGGCCCUGCAGGACCCCAGGCACGAGUCUGGUAUGGGGGCAGGUGUGCUCUGGUGCAGCUGGCAGGCCCCAUGAAAGGGUCAUUGGACCAUGCCCCAAGCCCUGCAGGGUGCACCCUGUGCCUCCUGGUGUCCUUGUGGAGUCCCCUCCUCUGCAGCCUGCCAUGAGCUACUCUGCUCCAGCGUCCGAGGCAGUGACAGCGGCACUGCCAUCAGAGACAGCUUCACCUCCUUGUGGGGAGUGGGGACAGGACAGGCUUUGAGUCAGCUCUCAGCCCUGCUGUGCACACCUCAGGGCCCACCUGGAAUGGGUGUGUGGCAUCAGGAAAAACUGCAUUUUUUAAAGGGUGUGCAUCGCACUGUGAUGAAGGCUGCCGCAAUCCUCAUUUUAUUAACCAGAAAACCGGGGCUUACAGGGAUGAGGUCUCGUCCCAGCUAUACAGUGAGGGGGCAAGUGGUUCCGGCUGCCUAAGCUCAGGACUCCACACUGACGGGGCCACACUGUUCCUUCUGGGCCUCGUCCCCCGCCUCUAAGGCCCUCCUGGUGCUGGCCUAGGUCAGGCACAGUGGAGAGGUGGAAGCAGGAGCCUGGCUUGGUCAGAGGGGUGGGGUCAAGGGGGGGCGUUGUCAGCAGGAAUUCCAGCAACUUUCCUCAGGACUGCCGCCUCAGGGGCCUGUCUCAUCCUGUUCUGGGACCCUGGGCCAGGGUGGCUGGAAUGCAGCAGGUCCUGCAUUCUUUUACGCCCUCCUGAGGGUCAGCAGGAAGUGAAGGCCAGGCCAGGGAGGAGAGGCAGGAGAGGGAGCCAGGACCGGGACCGAGGGCGGGGUCAGCCCGGGCAGAGGCACCUGGCUCGAGGCUGUCCUGGGGGAGCUGGCAGCAGCUCCAGCCCUGCCUGGAGGUGGGAGCAGGGAUCUGUAGCCCCACUGCAGGCAGGGCCUGGAGCAGCGCAGGCAGUGCCCUACCCGCUUACUGCAAGAGAAGUCACCCCUCAGGCCUGGGGUCCAGGAAGCCCUUACCCACUAGAGGCCAUCUGGGGUGGGGACCCAGGACUAGGUAACUACCCAGAGGUUGAAUGCCUGGGUCAGACUGAGUUUGCUGAUCUUCCGCACCCUCUAAGUACACACACUCAGGGAGGAGCCCGAGACAAGAGAAGGGAACAGAGAACCCGAAUCCGGGCUUGGGCGGCUGCCGCUUGGCCCCUGUAGCCUCUGUGCCUGCUGACAUGACAGCAAGGAGACAGGUUGUCAGAGGGGCCUGGGAGAGCGAGGGAGGGCCGAGGUAGGGGUUCUUAUCCUGGAGCGCUCCCUCCUUGCCCUCUUUUCCUGUCUGAGUUCUGGAAUGUACUGAUGCAGGGGGCUCUGGCUUGAGCUAGAGGGGGAGGGAGUCCUCCGCAGGGGCUGCAGGUCCAGGGAUUCCCCAGGGCCUGGACUUACAUGUGCCCAUGCUGCAGACAGAGCGGGAAUGGCAAGUGCACCUGCGCCCCCCGCCCCUCCUUACCUCCAGAUGCCUGCUGGAGGGGGAGUUGGGGGUCCAACAGAGUCUGGGGCCAGGAGGGCCUUGUGGGAGCCAGCUGGGGUGAGGACAGAGCCCGGCUCUGAGAGCCCUGGGGCCUAGUAGAGAAGGGGUGCUCCUUCCCCACUCCUCACAUGGGUGGGAAGGCGCCCUCAGGCAAGAAGACUGGGACACAGGUACACUCGCCAGGGACCAUCCUUCACUCUGCAGCCUUUAUUCACUGAUGGGAUUCUGCCCCAGUCCCACCCCCGUGGGGGCAGGAUUUAGAGCAGGAACCGCCCCUCCGGGUCCUUUCCUGGGGCCUGUGCCAGGCUGAGCAGACUCAGGAGGCGUCUCUCCGAGGGUGUGGGCUGUGAUGGGGCCCUGUGCACCCAUCCAGGCUGCCCAGACCAGGAGAGCACAGGAAGCCUCCCCAGCCUCUGGCCUCCAGUCCCAACAAGCCAUGCUCCUUCCAGAGGGAACCUCUGCCAGGGGAGCCUCCACUUUCUUGCUCCUGCCUCCCUACCUGGCACCCAGGCCGGCCCUGGUACCCUGGUACUGAAUAAAGGCACACGUCUAAAUGAUGUCGGGGGGAAUCUGCCCAGUGUUGGCACUGGAGCGAACACGACCCACUGCCAGCAUGGCCCACGAGCCACACCCCCCCAAGCCAGCACCUCCUCCCCAGAGGAAGCACGGGGCUCGACGGGGCACGCCCCUGAAUGGGAGGUCACACAUGGUGAGGGCUCCCUUGUUCCCAGAGGUCUAGCUGUCUCCCUGCUAAGAUGCAGAGCUCACUAUGGGCCUCGCAGGGGGUUAAGCCGAGUCAUUUCAUCUUCACAGCAGCUGUAGGUCCCGCUGACAUAGCUGACACAUAGAGAGCUAAAGUGACCUGUGCAAGGUCACAGGCUAGGAGUAGCAGCACGGGGCCCAGCACGAGGAACAGCCUUAGCAUCCCCCGCCUCCCCAACCCUGCAGCCUGCCCUGACUCCAAUCCCAGGGGAAUUCCUGAGCUGCAGGCAAAGGCUGAAGCAGGAGCUGACAAGCCCUGCUGAGCCCAGAGAGGUCUGGGCGGUCCCAGGAGGGCGUCUCCCUAGGGCUUUGAUGAGUUGGUGGCCGCCCAGGCACCUCUGCCUGCCUGCCCAGCAUGGCAGGUGUGUGGGCUGGAGCUUCUGCCCAGCCCUGCCCCACAGCCACAAUUAGGGGACGAGUGCAGAUAAAGCACGGGGGCCAGUUACAUCUGAAUUUCAGAUAAACAAUGAAUUGUUAUUUUAGUACAGUAUGAAAGUAUUUGGCCCCAAAGAACUGGAAGCAGGAAAAGGAACAGCUCCUCAUACACCCAUGCUCACAGCAUUAUUCACCAGAGCCGGAAGGUAGAAACGAUGUCUCUCCACAGUCGAAUAGAUUGUUUCCACAAACUGUCUGUAGGUGCAUACAAUGGAAUAGGAUUAAUCCGUGAAAAGGAAGAAAUUCUGACACAUGCUCCGGCGUGGAGGAACCUUGAGGACGACGCUGAGUGAAAGAAGCCAGACACGAAAGGACAGAUACGGCAAGACUCGACUUAUGUGAGGUCCCUAGAGGAGUCGGAUUCAUAGAGACUGAAAGGAUGGCGGGCACCAGGGGCGGUGGAGAGGGGAAAUGGGGAGUUACUGUUUAAUGGGGACAGAGUUUCAGUUUUACAAGAUGAAAAGGGUCCUGGAGCUGGAUGGGGGUGACGGCCGCACAACAGCAUGAAUGGACUGAACGCCACUGAAAACUGAACUCUUGAAAAUGGUUAAACUGGCAAAUUUUGUUAUGCAUAUUUUGCCACAAAAAGCAAACAACUCUUCUCCCCAAAAAUAUCUGGGGUGUACUUACACUAAAUAUGUAGGGCAUAUUUACUCUCAACAUUUAUUUCCUUAUUUGAAAUGAAAGUAUUUGGGACACACUGCACUACAAAAUGAUUCAGGGUCUACCUGAAAUUCCCAUGUACCUCGUGUCCUGUCUUUGCAUCCGCUAAGUCCGGCGGCCCUUUGCAGCGUGGGGGUGGGGGGGG